RNAcentral lists this long non-coding RNA (2583 nucleotides) under Zea mays. RNAcentral's name for it is "long non-coding RNA (ZMAY_LNC002983)". The record is from RNAcentral. Lineage: Eukaryota; Viridiplantae; Streptophyta; Magnoliopsida; Poales; Poaceae.
UGGGUCUUGGUGUGGAGGCCGCGUGUCUGGGGACCAAGCAGCUGCUGGCACCAGCGAGUCUUUCCGUUGCGAUAAACACAGACGCAACAAAACGUUCUUUCUCCCUCCUCCUGUUAUCUUGUUCCUUCUCCCAGUGAAAAAUCUUUAUGUCCUCAAGCUCAAGCAUACCGCCACCACCAGUCUCAGCCCAACGCUCUACCUCAACAACUCACCUCGUUGUUUACAUUUUUGUUCUUUGGUCGUCGUCCAUAGAAAAGAAUCCCCAUCGUCAGGUCGUUUAUCUACUCCAAGCUGGCGUCUGUGAUAGGGUGAGGCAGCCAGGCAGGUAUGGUCUUUGGGCUCAUGUUGUGCUGAAUGGGGCAGGGUAGUUGUGGGGGGGGAAGCGCUCGUCUUAUGCUUGUUGAGAUUCGGCUGGGUGCAAGCAGCCAGGGCCUUGCAGCCAGAAAUUGUUCGUCCUGUAUGUUUGUGUGGAGAAGAAGUGGUGUGAGUAGAAAAGGAACAGCGAGGGGGUUGAUGCUAAUUUGUGUAGAUGUUCGUUUUCUUUUUCAGAUUUCUUCUAAGACCUGAAAAGUGCUAAGAUAUGAAAUCAGUUUGUUGGGUUCACAAACAUGAGUUCUCUAUGUUAAAAUAUUUGUUCUAGGUUAACUGAUACUUCUCUGUAUAAGUUGUGUUAAUGUUAAACAUAAUAAUACUUCUUUAAUCUAUUACAAUAAAUCUAAAGCACCAACAAUCAUAAAAUGUUAUGAGCACCUAGCUUAUGAUGAAUGGUUGAGUUGCUUCUAUUCGUAUCCUAAAUUUAGGUGUCCGAAAGGGCUAAGCCUAUGUUUCAUUAAGUCUGUGGAUGAUUACCUAGCUUAGGCGUUUAUAGGUCGUGUCUAGGGUUAUUAUUUUCUUGAGAUUUGAGCAAGCCCGGUUAAACCGAACGAACAUGAUUAUUGUGCUAGCGAGUCAUAGGUAUAUAGGAUUUACGUACGAAGUUUGUGAUGCUUUUUAAUCCUCUUCGGUAUAAUGAUAAUUAGUCGUGUGCUAUUCCUGUCUAUAUGCAUUCAUGUGCAUUAUGCAUUUCAUUUAGGCACGAUAAUUAAUCACGUGAUGCGGAAGACGACCCAAGUCGACCCCAGGAUAAUGCAGAGAUUGGACAUCUCCGCAAGACGAUGUUGUCAGUCGGAUAAAUCUGAAGAUGGAUAAUCUAAACAAGUGUGAGACCAAAAGCUGAUUGCCAAGUGGACGCCACCUAACAAACACUAACGUAGUGUUUAUUCCAGGCAAGCCUCGGUGCAUGCAACCCCUUCCUUGUGUUUUUAAAUAAUUUUUACACACUUUAAGUCUAGCGAAAUGUGCAUUAGGUUUAUAGGAGUUGCUUGGAAACCCUUUGAUGCAUUGUCUACCUUGAUAUCCAUACCUUUAUAGAUACUUCUGAUGAAGUAUCAAAAUAUGAUUUACAAAAAUUCUUAUCCCUGCUUAGAUCUUAUGGAUAGAGGUUGUCCUUUGCGUUAAUGCCUAGCUCAGGGGUUAUCUUGAGGAAGGAUGGCUUCUGCCUGCAAGAAUAUUUUCAUUGGGAGCAAUGGUGGGAUCUUACUGCAAAGUUCCCUAUAAUGCUCUUUUCAUCCUAAGGAAUACAAACAAUCCUAAGGAUGGAAGUACUUAAAUCGGGACUUGGGCUAGGAACAUGUGAUGUUCUACCGAGGUUGAUUAAGGAUUAUACUUAAUGUAGUCUUGAUGAUCGAGGAUCUUUUAACCGGUCACAUGCCUCGUCAUGGGUAAGCUUUGCCUCGGGCAGACUAAUACCAGAAUAAGAUAGCACACAAUGGGAGUGGAGAGAUGGCGAGAGUAGCGUGUACCCUCCGUGGCAAGAGGCUGGACGGUGGUGUAUCUGUACUCUCGGUUGGCGUGAACCUGAUCUGGUCUUAAGAACCCCGAUUGCAAGUUGACAUAUGCAAGGGUUAAGUGCUACAUAUGUCGUGUGAUUGGAGAUCCCUAGCUAGGUAUUAAUCGAUUCGGAUCGCCGUUACUUCUCGGACAUGAAGACUUGGUCAUUGACCUGCAAUCUAAGUCAUGGAUGGAAUCUUAAUGAGAAAAAAUCAUGUUGGAUUGAUUAAUGUGAUGGUGAAAUUAGACUAGAUGCAAACAAGGUCUAUUAAUACUUAAUCUAGCAUUAAAAUGUUGAAAGUAAGGACUCACUUUAGUAAGCUAUUUCUGCAAAAGUCUCUAAGUUGAUUCUUGCUAAAGCCUUUUCCUUGAUUCCUAUUUAACCAACAUAUCCUUGACAGUCUUUUCUUUAGUCGGGUAAGUCUUGCUUUGUACUUGCAUACUUAGGGUUUUACCCAUUGUUGGUGCAGGUUACGAGUCACUUGAUUGUGAUUGGUGUUAAGCGCCGGUGGGCACGGCCUUCUUAUAAGUCUAAGUACUUCUUCUAGACUUCUUAUUGAGGAUGGUCACUUAAGCUAGCAUAUAUUUCAUACUUAUAAUAAUUUUAUAACAUUUCAAAGUUUAUUGCUUUGAAUCACUUUGUAACCACACCGAUAAAUAUAAUGUAAAUUUGUUGAAACUUGUAACUUUUUGUAAUAAAGAAAUUCCACUGCA